RNAcentral lists this ribosomal RNA (200 nucleotides) under uncultured bacterium. RNAcentral's name for it is "partial 16S ribosomal RNA". It matches the Rfam family "Bacterial small subunit ribosomal RNA", at positions 524 to 723 of the family's 1533-position model. The record is from RNAcentral.
UACGGAGGGGACUAGCGUUGUUCGGAAUUACUGGGCGUAAAGAGUACGUAGGCGGCUUAUCAAGUUGGGUGUGAAAGCCCGGGGCUCAACCCCGGAACUGCAUUCAAAACUGGUAAGCUAGAGAUCGGAAGAGGUAAGUGGAAUUCCCAGUGUAGAGGUGAAAUUCGUAGAUAUUGGGAAGAACACCAGUGGCGAAGGCG